Acanthosepion pharaonis is the source of this 116-nucleotide non-coding RNA. The record is from the annotation of a GenBank genome assembly. NCBI's taxonomy places the organism in Eukaryota, Metazoa, Mollusca, Cephalopoda, Sepiida, Sepiidae.
UAUGGCCAUAUAGCAUUGAAACACCAAUUCUCUUAUGAUCACCGAAGUUGUUAAGCAAUGUCGAACCUGAUCAGUACCAAGAUGAGUGACUGUUUGGGAAUACCAGGUAUUGUAAG